RNAcentral lists this ribosomal RNA (253 nucleotides) under uncultured bacterium. RNAcentral's name for it is "partial 16S ribosomal RNA". It matches the Rfam family "Bacterial small subunit ribosomal RNA", at positions 524 to 776 of the family's 1533-position model. The record is from RNAcentral.
UACGUAGGGGGCAAGCGUUGUCCGGAAUUACUGGGCGUAAAGCGCGCGCAGGCGGUUUUUCAAGUCAGUGGUGAAAGCCCGGAGCUCAACUCCGGAAAUGCCAUUGAAACUGCAAAACUUGAGGACGAGAGAGGUGAGUGGAAUUCCCAGUGUAGAGGUGAAAUUCGUAGAUAUUGGGAAGAACACCGGUGGCGAAGGCGGCUCACUGGCUCGUUUCUGACGCUCAGGCGCGAUAGCGUGGGGAUCAAACAGG